GUGCUGAGCAGGUGUCUCUGCUAAGGUUGGUAUUAAUAGGGUGAUAUGUGGGAAGUUUAGGGUCCCCAGGUUACAGGGGGGGGGGCGGGUGUGAACCGGCCCAGAUCGGAAACGGAGCAGGUCAAAACUCCCGUGGCGAUUGAUAGCGGGAUAGCACCUGUGAAC
RNAcentral lists this small RNA (165 nucleotides) under Chelydra serpentina (North American snapping turtle). RNAcentral describes it as "Metazoan signal recognition particle RNA (ENSCSRG00000009838.1)". It matches the Rfam family "Metazoan signal recognition particle RNA", at positions 95 to 253 of the family's 299-position model. From Rfam's summary of the family: The signal recognition particle (SRP) is a universally conserved ribonucleoprotein. It is involved in the co-translational targeting of proteins to membranes. The eukaryotic SRP consists of a 300-nucleotide 7S RNA and six proteins: SRPs 72, 68, 54, 19, 14, and 9. Lineage: Eukaryota; Metazoa; Chordata; Testudines; Chelydridae. The record is from Rfam by way of RNAcentral.